AGGGCCUUGAAACAGACCUGUGGCCUACUGUCUAAAAGACUUGAUCCUGUGGCAAGUGGAUGGUCUACCUGUUUGAGGGCAGUUGCAGCCACCACCCUCCUGGUCAAGGAGGCAGAUAAGCUCAGCCUAGGAUGGGACCUGGUCAUCACCACACCCCAUGCAGUGGAAACAUUGCUGAGAGGAGCCCCAGACUAUGGCUCUCCAACGCCUGCCUGACUCAGUACCAGGCCCUGUUGCUGGAUGCUCCAUGCAUCAAAUUCACCUGAGAAAUGACCCUCAAUCUGGCCACCUUACUCCUGGACUCUGACUCAUAUGCAUGCCCCUCCAUAACUGUCUGGACACUCUGACAACUUCCACCACCAACUGCCCAGAUCUGACUGAUGUUCCCCUGCAAAGCCCAGAUGAGACCUUCUUCACCAAUGGAAACAGCUUAGUGGAAGACUGAGUCAGGACUGACCUCUAUGGUCCAGGACAUCAGUUCCAGGUGUCAGGUGUGUACACAGUUAAACUCCAAGGCAAGACCAAGGAACAAAGUCUCUUCAAGCCUUACAGAUUCUUCAGAGUGAGAUCCAGGCUACAAAACAACAGGCUCAAGAAAAACCCUUUGCGACGUUCCAGCCCCAUGGUUUCAAGCCAGGAGACCUGGUCCUGAUAUGCUUGGUUUGCUUGCACUGAGGACUUGACUAAAUACAUUCCCAAAUCAGUCUUGGCUACCCAAUCUGCCACUUUAUUUUGUGUCACCAUGUAUGGUGUUCCACAAGUCUUGUAUUAUAAUAAAAAAGGGGGCUGUAAACAUCUGGAAUUAACCACUGAACACUAAAGGAGUAAACGGGAUGCCCCCAUU
Molecule: long non-coding RNA, 844 nt
Filed under: Heterocephalus glaber (naked mole-rat)
Lineage: Eukaryota; Metazoa; Chordata; Mammalia; Rodentia; Bathyergidae
Description: lncRNA (ENSHGLG00100048760.1)
Source: RNAcentral